UGCAGUCGAACGCGUGUGGCCCAACUGAUUGAGACGUGCUUGCACGGACGUUGACGUUGGUUUACCAGCGAGUGGCGGACGGGUGAGUAACACGUAGGUAACCUGCCCCAAAGCGGGGGAUAACAUUUGGAAACAGAUGCUAAUACCGCAUAACAAUUUGAAUCGCAUGAUUCAAAUUUAAAAGAUGGCUUCGGCUAUCACUUUGGGAUGGACCUGCGGCGCAUUAGCUUGUUGGUAGGGUAACGGCCUACCAAGGCUGUGAUGCGUAGCCGAGUUGAGAGACUGAUCGGCCACAAUGGAACUGAGACACGGUCCAUACUCCUACGGGAGGCAGCAGUAGGGAAUCUUCCACAAUGGGCGCAAGCCUGAUGGAGCAACACCGCGUGAGUGAAGAAGGGUUUCGGCUCGUAAAGCUCUGUUGUUAGAGAAGAACGUGCGUGAGAGCAACUGUUCACGCAGUGACGGUAUCUAACCAGAAAGUCACGGCUAACUACGUGCCAGCAGCCGCGGUAAUACGUAGGUGGCAAGCGUUAUCCGGAUUUAUUGGGCGUAAAGCGAGCGCAGGCGGUUUGAUAAGUCUGAUGUGAAAGCCUUUGGCUUAACCAAAGAAGUGCAUCGGAAACUGUCAGACUUGAGUGCAGAAGAGGACAGUGGAACUCCAUGUGUAGCGGUGGAAUGCGUAGAUAUAUGGAAGAACACCAGUGGCGAAGGCGGCUGUCUGGUCUGCAACUGACGCUGAGGCUCGAAAGCAUGGGUAGCGAACAGGAUUAGAUACCCUGGUAGUCCAUGCCGUAAACGAUGAGUGCUAGGUGUUGGAGGGUUUCCGCCCUUCAGUGCCGCAGCUAACGCAUUAAGCACUCCGCCUGGGGAGUACGACCGCAAGGUUGAAACUCAAAGGAAUUGACGGGGGCCCGCACAAGCGGUGGAGCAUGUGGUUUAAUUCGAAGCUACGCGAAGAACCUUACCAGGUCUUGACAUCUUGCGCCAACCCUAGAGAUAGGGCGUUUCCUUCGGGAACGCAAUGACAGGUGGUGCAUGGUCGUCGUCAGCUCGUGUCGUGAGAUGUUGGGUUAAGUCCCGCAACGAGCGCAACCCUUGUUACUAGUUGCCAGCAUUCAGUUGGGCACUCUAGUGAGACUGCCGGUGACAAACCGGAGGAAGGUGGGGACGACGUCAGAUCAUCAUGCCCCUUAUGACCUGGGCUACACACGUGCUACAAUGGACGGUACAACGAGUCGCGAACUCGCGAGGGCAAGCUAAUCUCUUAAAACCGUUCUCAGUUCGGACUGCAGGCUGCAACUCGCCUGC
This 1308-nucleotide ribosomal RNA is filed under the name uncultured bacterium. RNAcentral's name for it is "bacterial SSU rRNA". It matches the Rfam family "Bacterial small subunit ribosomal RNA", at positions 24 to 1319 of the family's 1533-position model. The record is from RNAcentral.